UUGUGGAUGUCUUUCCUGCAUACCAUACUUCUCUCUUCACCGCUUCCCUCUCUCUCUCUCCUCUUCUUAGCAAUAAAUAGAAGGUAGCUUGAAAGUGUGAGUUGCCAGAGAAAUACAGAAGCUAUUUUCCUAUCAUAUAUGUUCGGCUUCAGUAGAAAAUGUAAACGAUUUCCCAUUUCUGGUACAUCCAGGUGUUGACCCUGCUGGUUUCGUUAAUAUGUCAUGAACGGUUCUUUAUAACCUUGUCUUCUAGUGAAGGUUGUGCAGCAGGGAACAGAGUUUCUGCAUCUUUACUUGUGUCUUAAUUUUGUAUCAAGAGUAACGAAUCUUGAUGAAGGUAUCAUCUAAGCCUCAAACAGUGUUAAAACUAUUUGAGGAUCACAUUAUCUUCUCGAGGUCGGUGGCAUGUUGCUUUAUUGUCUAAAUUUGAGGAUCGCAUUAUCAACAUACACCUCUAUGAUUUUGGCUAUCUGCUCUCAGAAUAUCUAGUCCAAUACUUUCUGAAAUGUAACUUCUGCAUUCUUCAAAUCGAAAGAAAUUACUUCAUAGCAUAAAUUUGUCUCA
Molecule: long non-coding RNA, 564 nt
Organism: Vigna angularis (adzuki bean)
Lineage: Eukaryota; Viridiplantae; Streptophyta; Magnoliopsida; Fabales; Fabaceae
Exons: 2
Source: RefSeq, a predicted model, not a curated record